Molecule: unclassified non-coding RNA, 2790 nt
Filed under: Actinia tenebrosa (Australian red waratah sea anemone)
Lineage: Eukaryota; Metazoa; Cnidaria; Anthozoa; Actiniaria; Actiniidae
Description: pyruvate dehydrogenase [acetyl-transferring]- phosphatase 2, mitochondrial-like, transcript variant X2
Source: RNAcentral
CGUCGAAGGCUAAGUUGAGCCAGCUAUGGCGGAAUCUAAACAUCAUUGUUUUAAAACAACAGGCAAACAACACUUAUUUUCGUCAUCAAAAUCCCAAAUAUUUCCAAAACAAAAACCGCUCAUACCAUGACUUAUAUAUAAGUUAUAGAUGAAGCUAAAAUAUCUAGGAUUUAGUUUGAAUUUCGGUCUCAAAUUUGUGUUCAAAAAUUGUCUAUUUUGAACCGAGUUGUGAAUAUUUCUACAAAUGGCAAAUUCAAAUGGUAUUUCUUCAUUCCAUUUUGGAAAGAAUGUAUACCUUUUGGGGCUGAAUGUCAGUAGGAGAGGACAAAGAGCUUUCUACAGUGGAAUUACAAGAGGAAAAUCUAACUUGGAAGGUUGUUGCAAGACGCUACAAGACAGAAAAGUAUCAAGUAGAAAGAUUAACACUGAAUUGAAGCCUAGAAAUCGGAAAAAUCAUCCAAAUGAGUCUUUAACUUCUAGGUCUGUCGUCCAAGGCAGCUUCUUAAAGGUUUUUAGGACUCACCAAUGUUUCAAUUCAAGAACAUUUGUAACUAGUCAACGCCUACGACUUCAAGAACCAUGGAUGAUUUCAGACUAUGAGGUGAAUUCCCUUGUUAAUAGAUGUGAGACAGCAGCUUCUGUUAAUCGUGGUAUUAUAGAUCGUUAUGAGACCAAUCAACUUGCUUCUAACCAGCCUGUUGAGGAUCGCAAGUUUGUCGUUAGCCUACUUCAUGAAGAUGGGGAGCAUUUAUUUGGAGUUCUCGAUGGUCAUGGAGGUGAUUCCUGUGCUCAAAGUGUCAGUCACAGACUUCCUGAUUACAUUGGAUUAGCUCUUUUACCACCAGAGAUUUUAAUGGAGUUAGGUAACGAUGUACCUGACGUGAGGGAAUAUCUAACAAUGACAAGUGAUUCCGAACAUAAUGGUUAUAAUUACAUGGAUGACCCAAUAUGCCGUCAAAGUUUAUAUAAGUAUUUUAAGAAGCUUAAGAAGAUGUAUGUUUCGAAAGGUUAUCAUGUAGGAAGUAACUUAAAGCAGAGGUCAUCCAGAGGGCUAUUUACUUCUUUCGCAGAAUUCCAUGACGUACGGACAUCCUUCAAAAUGAAUGCAUUGAGUCAUGCAUUUUUGAGCCUUGACGAAGAUAUCUCAGCAGAAGCUUUAAGGUUUGAUGAAGCCGGUAAAGUUAACGAACAUGCUUUUGCAGCAGCUAAUGCUGGAGCUUGUGCUUUAGUAGCACAUAUUAAUGNAACAGAGCUGUGUAUUGCCAAUACUGGGGACUGUAGAGCAGUGCUUGGUGUGGAGAAUGAAAACAAGAGCUGGUCGGCAAUUCAGCUUUCUUCUGAUCACACGACAGGUAACCCAGGAGAGGUUGAGCGUAUAGUCAGCCAACAUCCUCCAGAAGAAGCCACCACCUGCAUUGAAUAUGAACGAUUACUCAGUAGACUUGCACCGCUGAGAGCAUUUGGUGAUGUGCGCUUCAAAUGGGACUCUAAAACACAGAAGGAAGUGUACAGUAAGAGUAAUUCAUCUGUAAGAUAUUUCACUGAAAAAGAACAUUUAUACACNCCUCCAUACCUUACUGCAGAGCCUGAACUGACGUCAUACCAGCUUCAGCGCUCCGACAAAUUCUUGGUCCUGGCCACAGAUGGAUUGUGGGAUAUGUUGAGUAACGAAGAGGUUGUUCAUUAUGUAAAAGCACAUGUAAACAAGAAAAAUGGCGCAGAACGUGAGAAAACUUCAAUGGAGAUUACAUACAACAAGCAAGAAUUACCCUGCGAAAUGUUGAACUCUGCUUCGUGUCUGAUCCGCGAGGCUUUGGGUGGUGACGAUCAUGUGUCUGUGAGUACGUCGUUGAGUAUUCCGUUUCCAGAUGUGAGAAGGUACCGUGACGACAUGACUAUUAUUGUUGUUUUCUUUGACUGGGAUCAGCUGGAAAUACCAAGUGAGAGUGAACAGGAUUUUCCACUUAUAAUAUAAUAAUUGACAGAGGAAUUGGCGUGGGCAUCCACCUUGUACAGUUUCGAAAUCACUCCUAUGCCUCAAGAGAUUCAGAGAUUCCAGAGAUUCCCAUGGGGGAGGUGGUGGGGACCAAUAAUUUGCAAUGGUCCAAUUCCUUCUAAAUAAUGAAUAAUAUGAAUUCCGCACAAUGUGUAAUUGUAUGUAGAUUCGCUAAUGCUAUGCAGAAUAAGUCUAAAGAUCGUUUUUAUGCAAACUAAUGAAUCUAAAAAAUCUAAUGUGUUUACCACUCCUGGGUGGACGGCUUAAUGCCUAACAGGCCUUGUGGCCCAAUCGAUAAGGCAGCUGGUAGAUCAAAUAAGAAUUUAGAAGUUGAUUUUUGUGGAGGGAGGAAAAACCGGAGAACCCGGAAGAAAAACCCUCGAAGCGGGGGAGAGAUACAAUGAGCUAACUCCACUCACAUAAAACACCGAGCACGGAAGAGCUCGAACCCGGUGUAAAUGAUUUGCUGUUUAUUCGAUUACGUCACUUCGUCAAUUACUAUUAGCGUAGUAUAAUGUUUCAGCCUCGUGGCUUUAGAUUGAAUACUGUACGGGAGGAAAGAGUUUUUACGUGAUCCAACAUUAUUACAAUAAAGAAUCGAGUAUGGAUUACAGUGUUUAAGCCUUUCUCCCCAAGCGGCGUAACCGCGGGUCUAGUUGACAGCAAGGGUGACCCCAAGCCGCUACAGUAAAAACUCUUUCNAUCAAAACGUUCAAGUUAAAACCAUCGGAUUGAAACAAGGCCUAGCGAACUGAUCAUGACAGAAAAACGAGUAAGAAUACAGACCGAGAAAG